AGUGAACGCUGGCGGUAGGCCUAACACAUGCAAGUCGAACGGCAGCACAGUAAGAGCCUGCUCUUACGGGUGGCGAGUGGCGGACGGGUGAGGAAUACAUCGGAAUCUACUUUUUCGUGGGGGAUAACGUAGGGAAACUUACGCUAAUACCGCAUACGACCUACGGGUGAAAGCAGGGGAUCUUCGGACCUUGCGCGAUUGAAUGAGCCGAUGUCGGAUUAGCUAGUUGGCGGGGUAAAGGCCCACCAAGGCGACGAUCCGUAGCUGGUCUGAGAGGAUGAUCAGCCACACUGGAACUGAGACACGGUCCAGACUCCUACGGGAGGAAGCAGUGGGGAAUAUUGGACAAUGGGCGCAAGCCUGAUCCAGCCAUACCGCGUGGGUGAAGAAGGCCUUCGGGUUGUAAAGCCCUUUUGUUGGGAAAGAAAAGCAGCAGGUUAAUACCCCGCUGUUCUGACGGUACCCAAAGAAUAAGCACCGGCUAACUUCGUG
RNAcentral lists this ribosomal RNA (492 nucleotides) under uncultured bacterium. Its description in RNAcentral is "partial 16S ribosomal RNA". It matches the Rfam family "Bacterial small subunit ribosomal RNA", at positions 29 to 507 of the family's 1533-position model. The record is from RNAcentral.